UGUGUAGGCGGUUCUUUAAGUUUGCUGUGAAAUCUCCCGGCUUAACCGGGAGGGUGCGGUGAAUACUGAGGGACUAGAGUACGGGAGAGGAAAGUGGAAUUCCUGGUGUAGCGGUGAAAUGCGUAGAUAUCAGGAGGAACACCGGUGGUGUAGACGGCUUUCUGGACCGUAACUGACGCUGAAACACGAAAGCGUGGGUAGCAAACAG
RNAcentral lists this ribosomal RNA (208 nucleotides) under uncultured bacterium. RNAcentral's name for it is "partial 16S ribosomal RNA". It matches the Rfam family "Bacterial small subunit ribosomal RNA", at positions 568 to 775 of the family's 1533-position model. The record is from RNAcentral.